UGCAAGUCGAACGGCAGCAUAGAGAGCUUGCUCUCUGAUGGCGAGUGGCGAACGGGUGAGUAAUAUAUCGGAACGUACCUAGUAAUGGGGAAUAACUAGCCGAAAGGUUGGCUAAUACCGCAUACGACCUACGGGUGAAAGCAGGGGAUCUUCGGACCUUGCGUUAUUAGAGCGGCCGAUAUCUGAUUAGGUAGUUGGUGGGGUAAAGGCCUACCAAGCUGACGAUCAGUAGCUGGUCUGAGAGGACGAUCAGCCACACUGGAACUGAGACACGGUCCAGACUCCUACGGGAGGCAGCAGUGGGGAAUUUUGGACAAUGGGGGCAACCCUGAUCCAGCCAUUCCGCGUGAGUGAAGAAGGCCUUCGGGUUGUAAAGCUCUUUCGCAAGAGAAGAAAUCUUAUUAUCAAAUAAAUAGUAAGGAUGACGGUAUCUUGAGAAGAAGCACCGGCUAACUACGUGCCAGCAGCCGCGGUAAUACGUAGGGUGCGAGCGUUAAUCGGAAUUACUGGGCGUAAAGCGUGCGCAGGCGGUUUUAUAAGUCAGAUGUGAAAUCCCCGAGCUCAACUUGGGAACUGCGUUUGAAACUGUAAGACUAGAGUGUGUCAGAGGGGGGUAGAAUUCCACGUGUAGCAGUGAAAUGCGUAGAGAUGUGGAGGAAUACCAAUGGCGAAGGCAGCCCCCUGGGAUAACACUGACGCUCAUGCACGAAAGCGUGGGGAGCAAACAGGAUUAGAUACCCUGGUAGUCCACGCCCUAAACGAUGUCUACUAGUUGUUGGUGGAGUAAAAUCCAUGA
This 796-nucleotide ribosomal RNA is filed under the name uncultured beta proteobacterium. Its description in RNAcentral is "bacterial SSU rRNA". It matches the Rfam family "Bacterial small subunit ribosomal RNA", at positions 56 to 842 of the family's 1533-position model. The record is from RNAcentral. Lineage: Bacteria; Pseudomonadati; Pseudomonadota; Betaproteobacteria.